GGUUGAUCCUGCCAGCAAUCAUAUGCUUGUCUCAAAGAUUAAGCCAUGCAUGUCUAAGUAUAAGUAUUUAUACAGCGAAACUGCGAACGGCUCAUUAUAUCAGUUACAAUCUACUUGAUUAAGGCUUUUACUUGGAUAACUGUAGGAAUUCUAGAGCUAAUACAUGCACCAGCCCUGGACCAGGAGCAAUCCUGGGAAGGGGGCGUUUACUAGUACAGAGAUCAAUUGGGGUAUACCAAACUUGUGAGGGAAACCGAGCAGGGCUCCAUUUUUUAGAGGAACCAUAGUAAGU
This 292-nucleotide ribosomal RNA is filed under the name uncultured eukaryote. RNAcentral's name for it is "partial 18S ribosomal RNA". It matches the Rfam family "Eukaryotic small subunit ribosomal RNA", at positions 6 to 261 of the family's 1831-position model. The record is from RNAcentral.